This 468-nucleotide ribosomal RNA is filed under the name uncultured bacterium. RNAcentral's name for it is "partial 16S ribosomal RNA". It matches the Rfam family "Bacterial small subunit ribosomal RNA", at positions 28 to 507 of the family's 1533-position model. The record is from RNAcentral.
GACGAACGCUGGCGGCGUGCUUAACACAUGCAAGUCGAACGGAAAGGCCCUGCUUUUGUGGGGUGCUCGAGUGGCGAACGGGUGAGUAACACGUGAGUAACCUGCCCUUGACUUUGGGAUAACUUCAGGAAACUGGGGCUAAUACCGGAUAGGAGCCCCUGCUGCAUGGUGGGGGUUGGAAAGUUUCGGCGGUUGGGGAUGGACUCGCGGCUUAUCAGCUUGUUGGUGGGGUAGUGGCUUACCAAGGCUUUGACGGGUAGCCGGCCUGAGAGGGUGACCGGCCACAUGGGGACUGAGAUACGGACCAGACUCCUACGGGAGGCAGCAGUGGGGAAUAUGGCACAAUGAGCGGAAGCCUGAUGCAGCAACGCCGCGUGCGGGAUGACGGCCUUCGGGUUGUAAACCGCUGUCGCCUGUGACGACGCGUGAGUGACGGUAAUGAGUAAAGAAGCACCGGCUAACUACGUG